This 70-nucleotide transfer RNA is filed under the name Marmota monax (woodchuck). Its description in RNAcentral is "tRNA.Ala". The record is from RNAcentral. Lineage: Eukaryota; Metazoa; Chordata; Mammalia; Rodentia; Sciuridae.
GGAGUUGUGGCUCAGGGGCAGAGCGCUUGCCUAGCAUGUGAGGCCCUGGGUUUGAGCCUCAGCAUCUCAU